CCUACGGGUGGCAGCAGUGGGGAAUAUUGGACAAUGGGGGGAACCCUGAUCCAGCCAUGCCGCGUGUGUGAAGAAGGCCCUCGGGUUGUAAAGCACUUUCAGUGAGGAAGAACGCCUGGUGGUUAAUACCCAUCAGGAAAGACAUCACUCACAGAAGAAGCACCGGCUAACUCCGUGCCAGCAGCCGCGGUAAUACGGAGGGUGCGAGCGUUAAUCGGAAUUACUGGGCGUAAAGCGCGCGUAGGUGGCUUGAUAAGCCGGUUGUGAAAGCCCCGGGCUCAACCUGGGAACGGCAUCCGGAACUGUCAAGCUAGAGUGCAGGAGAGGAAGGUAGAAUUCCCGGUGUAGCGGUGAAAUGCGUAGAGAUCGGGAGGAAUACCAGUGGCGAAGGCGGCCUUCUGGACUGACACUGACACUGAGGUGCGGAAGCGUGGGUAGCAAACAGGAUUAGAUACCCUUGUAGUC
This 465-nucleotide ribosomal RNA is filed under the name Vreelandella stevensii. Its description in RNAcentral is "partial 16S ribosomal RNA". It matches the Rfam family "Bacterial small subunit ribosomal RNA", at positions 338 to 795 of the family's 1533-position model. Lineage: Bacteria; Pseudomonadati; Pseudomonadota; Gammaproteobacteria; Oceanospirillales; Halomonadaceae. The record is from RNAcentral.